AUGGUGAAUAAAAGUGGUGAACAUGCCUUGAGGACGGGGAUAGCCGUUAGAAAUAGCGGAUAAUACCGGAUACGCUCAUCACUGUUAGAGGGUGAUGAGGAAAGGGGCUACGGCCCCGCCUUAAGAGUGGCCCGCGGCCCAUUAUGNUCGUUGGUGCGGUAACGGCGCACCAAGGCUCUGAUGGGUAUCCGGCCUAAGAGGCUGAACGGACACAUUGGGACUGAGAUACGGCCCAGACUCCUACGGGAGGCAGCAGCUAAGAAUAUUCCGCAAUGGGCGAAAGCCUGACGGAGCGACGCCGCGUGGGUGAGGAAGGCCGAAAGGUUGUAAAGCCCUUUUGAACCUGAAGAAUAAGUACGGGAGGGAAUGCCCGUAUGGUGACGGUAGGGUUUGAAUAAGCUAC
Molecule: ribosomal RNA, 403 nt
Filed under: uncultured Treponema clone RFS70p
Lineage: Bacteria; Pseudomonadati; Spirochaetota; Spirochaetia; Treponematales; Treponemataceae
Description: bacterial SSU rRNA
Rfam family: Bacterial small subunit ribosomal RNA
Source: RNAcentral